CUACGGGCUGCUCCAGUGGGGAAUUUUGGACAAUGGGGGCAACCCUGAUCCAGCCAUGCCGCGUGAGUGAAGAAGGCCUUCGGGUUGUAAAGCUCUUUCAGCCGGGAAGAAAUCGCAUGGGUUAAUACCCUGUGCGGAUGACGGUACCGGAAUAAGAAGCACCGGCUAACUACGUGCCAGCAGCCGCGGUAAUACGUAGGGUGCGAGCGUUAAUCGGAAUUACUGGGCGUAAAGCGUGCGCAGGCGGAUGCUUAAGUCAGAUGUGAAAUCCCCGGGCUUAACCUGGGAAUUGCAUUUGAAACUGGGUGUCUAGAGUGCGUCAGAGGGGGGUGGAAUUCCACGUGUAGCAGUGAUAUGCGUAGAUAUGUGGAGGAACACCAAUGGCGAAGGCAGCCCCCUGGGAUGACACUGACGCUCAUGCACGAAAGCGUGGGGAGCAAACAGGAUUAGAUACCCCAGUAGUC
Molecule: ribosomal RNA, 464 nt
Filed under: uncultured bacterium
Lineage: Bacteria
Description: partial 16S ribosomal RNA
Rfam family: Bacterial small subunit ribosomal RNA
Source: RNAcentral